This 23-nucleotide transfer RNA is filed under the name Tachiramantis prolixodiscus. RNAcentral's name for it is "partial tRNA-Phe". Lineage: Eukaryota; Metazoa; Chordata; Amphibia; Anura; Strabomantidae. The record is from RNAcentral.
CGGCCCCUAAAAAGUCCUUCAGA